UGGUCAAGUUAUUAAGGGUGCAGGGCGGAUGCCUUGGCACUAGGAGCCGAUGAAGGACGUGAUAAGCUGCGAUAAGCUUCGGGGAGUUGCACGUAAACUUUGAUCCGAAGAUUUCCGAAUGAGGAAACUCACUUAGAGUAAUGUCUAAGUAUCAUUAAGUGAAUACAUAGCUUAAUGAGGGGAACUCAGGGAACUGAAACAUCUAAGUACCUGAAGGAAGAGAAAGAAAUUCGAUUCCGUAAGUAGCGGCGAGCGAACGCGGAUUAGCCCAAACCAAUAAAGUUUUCUUUAUUGGGGUUGCGGACAUAUCAUAACGAAGAGGUAUCGUAAUUGAAGAGGUUUGGAAAGACCCACCACAGAAGGUAAUAGUCCUGUAUGUUAAACGAGAAGACUUCAGAUAUGAUCCAGAGUACCACGAGACACGUGAAACCCUGUGGGAAGCAGGAGGGACCACCCUCCAAGGCUAAAUACUACCUAGUGACCGAUAGCGUAUAGUACCGUGAGGGAAAGGUGAAAAGAACCCCGGGAGGGGAGUGAAAUAGAACCUGAAACCCUGCACUUACAAGCUGUGGAAGCACAUUUCUUGUGUGACCGCGUACUUUUUGUAGAACGGGCCAACGAGUUACGUUAAGUAGCAAGGUUAAGCACUUAAGGUGCGGAGCCGUAGCGAAAGCGAGUUUUAACUGAGCGUUCAGUUACUUGACGUAGACCCGAAACCGGGCGACCUACCCAUGAGCAGGAUGAAGCGAAAGUAAAAUUUCGUGGAGGUCCGAACCCACGAGCGUUGAAAAGCUCGGGGAUGACUUGUGGAUAGCGGUGAAAUUCCAAUCGAGCCCGGAGAUAGCUGGUUCUCCCCGAAAUAGCUUUAGGGCUAGCCUCAAGGUGAGAGAUACGGAGGUAGAGCACUGAAUGUCCUAGGGGGUAUUGCACCUACCGAAGACUAUCAAACUCCGAAUGCCGUCAUCUUAUACUUGGGAGUCAGACUGUGGGUGAUAAGAUUCAUAGUCGAAAGGGCAACAGCCCAGAUCGUCAGCUAAGGUCCCUAAAUGUAAGUUAAGUGGUAAAGGAUGUGGGAUUGCACAGACAACCAGGAUGUUGGCUUAGAAGCAGCCACUCAUUCAAAGAGUGCGUAAUAGCUCACUGGUCGAGUGAUCCUGCGCCGAAGAUUUCCGGGGCUAAAACUUACUACCGAAGCUACGGCAUCAGUAAUGAUGGGUAGGGGAGCUUCCCAUACGGGUUGAAGCGUGACCGUAAGGACAUGUGGACAGUAUGGGAGUGAGAAUGUUGGCAUGAGUAGCGAGAUGUGGGUGAGAAUCCCACAGGCCGUAAACCCAAGGUUUCCAGGGGAAGGUUCGUCCGCCCUGGGUUUAGUCGGGACCUAAGCUGAGGCCGAAAGGCGUAGGUGAUGGACAACAGGUUGAUAUUCCUGUACUACCGAUAACCGUUUGAGAGAAGGGAUGACACAGUAGGAUAAGCUAAGCACACUGUUGGUUAUGUGUGCCCAAGCAUUGAGGCAGUCAAAGUAGGCAAAUCCGCUUUGAUAAUGCUGGGAUGUGAUGGGGAGCGAAAUUUUAGUAGCGAAGUAGCUGAUUUCACACUGUCAAGAAAAGUCUCUAUCGAGGUUAAAGGUACCCGUACCGCAAACCGACACAGGUGGGUGAGGAGAGUAUCCUAAGGCCAGCGAGAGAACUGUUGUUAAGGAACUCGGCAAAAUGACCCCGUAACUUAGGGAUAAGGGGUGCCACCAUCAGGUGGCCGCAGAGAAUAGGCCCAAGCGACUGUUUACCAAAAACAUAGG
Molecule: ribosomal RNA, 1798 nt
Filed under: Clostridioides difficile
Lineage: Bacteria; Bacillati; Bacillota; Clostridia; Peptostreptococcales; Peptostreptococcaceae
Description: bacterial LSU rRNA
Rfam family: Bacterial large subunit ribosomal RNA
Source: RNAcentral